RNAcentral lists this ribosomal RNA (1437 nucleotides) under uncultured organism. RNAcentral's name for it is "16S ribosomal RNA". It matches the Rfam family "Bacterial small subunit ribosomal RNA". The record is from RNAcentral.
GAACGCUAGCUACAGGCUUAACACAUGCAAGUCGAGGGGCAGCAUCAUCAAAGCUUGCUUUGAUGGAUGGCGACCGGCGCACGGGUGAGUAACACGUAUCCAACCUGCCGACAACACUGGGAUAGCCUUUCGAAAGAAAGAUUAAUACCGGAUGGUAUAGUUUUCCCGCAUGGGAUAAUUAUUAAAGAAUUUCGGUUGUCGAUGGGGAUGCGUUCCAUUAGGCAGUUGGCGGGGUAACGGCCCACCAAACCUACGAUGGAUAGGGGUUCUGAGAGGAAGGUCCCCCACAUUGGAACUGAGACACGGUCCAAACUCCUACGGGAGGCAGCAGUGAGGAAUAUUGGUCAAUGGACGAGAGUCUGAACCAGCCAAGUAGCGUGAAGGAUGACUGCCCUAUGGGUUGUAAACUUCUUUUAUACGGGAAUAAAGUUAGCCACGUGUGGUUUUUUUGUAUGUACCGUAUGAAUAAGGAUCGGCUAACUCCGUGCCAGCAGCCGCGGUAAUACGGAGGAUCCGAGCGUUAUCCGGAUUUAUUGGGUUUAAAGGGAGCGUAGGCGGGUUGUUAAGUCAGUUGUGAAAGUUUGCGGCUCAACCGUAAAAUUGCAGUUGAUACUGGCGACCUUGAGUGCAACAGAGGUAGGCGGAAUUCGUGGUGUAGCGGUGAAAUGCUUAGAUAUCACGAAGAACUCCGAUUGCGAAGGCAGCUUACUGGAUUGUAACUGACGCUGAUGCUCGAAAGUGUGGGUAUCAAACAGGAUUAGAUACCCUGGUAGUCCACACAGUAAACGAUGAAUACUCGCUGUUGGCGAUAUACAGUCAGCGGCCAAGCGAAAGCAUUAAGUAUUCCACCUGGGGAGUACGCCGGCAACGGUGAAACUCAAAGGAAUUGACGGGGGCCCGCACAAGCGGAGGAACAUGUGGUUUAAUUCGAUGAUACGCGAGGAACCUUACCCGGGCUUAAAUUGCAACUGACGGAACCGGAAACGGUUCUUUCUUCGGACAGUUGUGAAGGUGCUGCAUGGUUGUCGUCAGCUCGUGCCGUGAGGUGUCGGCUUAAGUGCCAUAACGAGCGCAACCCUUACGGGUAGUUACCAUCAGGUUAUGCUGGGGACUCUACCCGGACUGCCGUCGUAAGAUGUGAGGAAGGUGGGGAUGACGUCAAAUCAGCACGGCCCUUACGUCCGGGGCUACACACGUGUUACAAUGGGGGGUACAGAAGGCAGCUACACGGCGACGUGGUGCUAAUCCCAAAAGCCUCUCUCAGUUCGGAUUGGAGUCUGCGACCCGACUCCAUGAAGCUGGAUUCGCUAGUAAUCGCGCAUCAGCCACGGCGCGGUGAAUACGUUCCCGGGCCUUGUACACACCGCCCGUCAAGCCAUGAAAGCCGGGGGUACCUGAAGUACGUAACCGCGAGGAGCGUCCUAGGGUAAAACUGGU